GCGGCAGUGGUGAAGUGGUAACACAGCGGUCGUCGAAAUGCGAAGUGCAAAAUUUCGCUAACAGCAAUUUUCGGACAAAGCCAAACCGCCAUGCGCAGGUUCGAUUCCUGCCUGCCGCUCCA
RNAcentral lists this transfer RNA (122 nucleotides) under Oscillospiraceae bacterium. RNAcentral describes it as "tRNA-OTHER". It matches the Rfam family "tRNA". Rfam says of the family: Transfer RNA (tRNA) molecules are approximately 80 nucleotides in length. Their secondary structure includes four short double-helical elements and three loops (D, anti-codon, and T loops). RNAcentral also lists the same sequence under 1 other name. The record is from RNAcentral. Lineage: Bacteria; Bacillati; Bacillota; Clostridia; Eubacteriales; Oscillospiraceae.